GUUAAAUUUCAAUAUGAACACUCAUUUUACUCGAGGCGUUUAGUUAACGCCGUUUGAAUACAAUGAGUGUUCAUAUUGAAAUU
Non-coding RNA from Paramuricea clavata, 83 nucleotides. NCBI's taxonomy places the organism in Eukaryota, Metazoa, Cnidaria, Anthozoa, Malacalcyonacea, Plexauridae. The record is from the annotation of a GenBank genome assembly.